AGUGCCUGGAGUUCCUGGAGGACAGCCCCUUCCUCCAGAGCAGGGGCUGGGUCAAGAACUGUGUGAACACCAUCAAGGUGUACGGGGACGGAGCGUGGGUCCUGUAUGAGGAGCCCAACUACCACGGCCGCAUGUACGUGGUGGAGAGUGGCGACUUCCGCAGCUUCUCGGACUGGGAGGCCCACAGCGCACGAGUGCAGU
This 201-nucleotide long non-coding RNA is filed under the name Homo sapiens (human). RNAcentral describes it as "non-protein coding lnc-CRYGN-1:3". Lineage: Eukaryota; Metazoa; Chordata; Mammalia; Primates; Hominidae. The record is from RNAcentral.